UUCUUGUCGACACCGAGAAAGAUGGUCAUAGGAUUUCAUUUAACGAUACAUUUGCUGAAAUGGAAUUGGGCGUAACUUGGGAUGAUUUGUACGGUGAAUCGCUUAAAAUUGGGGGUGGAAAAGAGAGAAUUACGGCAUAUUUCAACAAGACGAGUUGGCCAGAAAAAGCUCAAACGGGUAAUGAAGAAAGAAAGAAAUUCAUAGCUUCACUGCACAAGCG
Molecule: long non-coding RNA, 220 nt
Organism: Papaver somniferum (opium poppy)
Lineage: Eukaryota; Viridiplantae; Streptophyta; Magnoliopsida; Ranunculales; Papaveraceae
Exons: 3
Source: RefSeq, a predicted model, not a curated record